UACGAAGGGGGCUAGCGUUGUUCGGAAUCACUGGGCGUAAAGCGCACGUAGGCGGAUUUGCCAGUCAGGGGUGAAAUCCCGGGGCUCAACCUCGGAACUGCCUUUGAUACAGCAAGUCUAGAGUCCGGAAGAGGUGAGUGGAAUUCCUAGUGUAGAGGUGAAAUUCGUAGAUAUUAGGAAGAACACCAGUGGCGAAGGCGGCUCACUGGUCCGGCACUGACGCUGAGGUGCGAAAGCGUGGGGAGCAAACAGGAUUAGAAACCCCCGUAGUCC
RNAcentral lists this ribosomal RNA (273 nucleotides) under uncultured bacterium. RNAcentral describes it as "partial 16S ribosomal RNA". It matches the Rfam family "Bacterial small subunit ribosomal RNA", at positions 524 to 796 of the family's 1533-position model. The record is from RNAcentral.